Molecule: long non-coding RNA, 218 nt
Organism: Mya arenaria
Lineage: Eukaryota; Metazoa; Mollusca; Bivalvia; Myida; Myidae
Exons: 3
Source: RefSeq, a predicted model, not a curated record
GACACGCCCCCUUGCGGCUUACCACAUAUCAGUCCGGUUAGCCGCCGAAUUAUAGGAGGGAAGGAGGCUCGCGUCGACUCUUGGCCAUGGAUGGCUCUGAUGGCCAAAGACAAACAGACAGCAUGUGGAGGCAGCGUCCUUAACAAGCGCCUGAUUCUGACGGCCGUUCACUGCUUCGCUAACUCAAUCCCCACCGAGUCUCCUUCCGCCUGGACGGU